RNAcentral lists this ribosomal RNA (253 nucleotides) under uncultured bacterium. RNAcentral describes it as "partial 16S ribosomal RNA". It matches the Rfam family "Bacterial small subunit ribosomal RNA", at positions 524 to 776 of the family's 1533-position model. The record is from RNAcentral.
UACGUAGGGUGCGAGCGUUAAUCGGAAUUACUGGGCGUAAAGCGUGCGCAGGCGGCCAUGCAAGACAGAUGUGAAAUCCCCGGGCUCAACCUGGGAACUGCAUUUGUGACUGCACAGCUGGAGUGCGGCAGAGGGGGAUGGAAUUCCGCGUGUAGCAGUGAAAUGCGUAGAUAUCGUGAGGAACACCGGUGGCGAAGGCGGCAUCCUGGACCAACACUGACGCUGAGGAGCGAAAGCCAGGGGAGCAAACGGG